Molecule: ribosomal RNA, 253 nt
Filed under: uncultured bacterium
Lineage: Bacteria
Description: partial 16S ribosomal RNA
Rfam family: Bacterial small subunit ribosomal RNA
Source: RNAcentral
UACGUAGGCAGCAAGCGUUGUUCGGAGUUACUGGGCGUAAAGAGUAUGUAGGCGGCGUCCUAAGUUUGGUGUGAAAUCUCCCGGCUUAACCGGGAGGGUGCGCCGAAAACUGGGGCGCUGGAGUGCGGGAGAGGAAAGCGGAAUUCCUGGUGUAGCGGUGAAAUGCGUAGAUAUCAGGAGGAACACCGGUGGUGUAGACGGCUUUCUGGACCGUGACUGACGCUGAGAUACGAAAGCGUGGGGAGCAAACAGG